RNAcentral lists this ribosomal RNA (321 nucleotides) under uncultured Eubacterium sp. Its description in RNAcentral is "bacterial SSU rRNA". It matches the Rfam family "Bacterial small subunit ribosomal RNA", at positions 355 to 690 of the family's 1533-position model. The record is from RNAcentral. Lineage: Bacteria; Bacillati; Bacillota; Clostridia; Eubacteriales; Eubacteriaceae.
UGGGGAAUAUUGCACAAUGGGCGAAAGCCUGAUGCAGCAACGCCGCGUGAGGGAAGACGGUUUUUCGGAUUGUAAACCUCUGUUUUCGGUGACGAACAAAUGACGGUAACCGAGUAGGAAGCCACGGCUAACUACGUGCCAGCAGCCGCGGUAAUACGUAGGUGGCAAGCGUUAUCCGGAAUUACUGGGUGUAAAGGGAGCGCAGGCGGGAUAGCAAGUCAGCUGUGAAAACUAUGGGCUCAACCCAUAAACUGCAGUUGAAACUGUUAUUCUUGAGUGGAGUAGAGGCAAGCGGAAUUCCGAGUGUAGCGGUGAAAUGCG